AUGGACCCCGACAGGCCCUGGCAAGGCCUACCGUCGUUCAGUGUUGAUGUGGGCAUGGGCAUUUUUUAUAGCCUUGUGCACAUCCAGUUGGGAGAUGGUAAAUUCCUCCUAUUUUGGAGAGACCAUUGGAUGAAUGGUGCGGUAGUUGCAGACAUAACGCCCCUUGUCCUAGAGAAGGUAGCUACGAGAUGCGUCAACAAAAGAACAGUCCAUGAGGCCCUAAGCAGCCUAAGCUGGAUCACAGGAGUAGGUCUAGGCCUGACACCACAGGGUCUUCGGCAGUUCUCAAACCUUUGGUCGGCUGUCAGCAUCAUCUCUCUAAAUAAUGACACCCCACACCCCUGGCAUUUUCUCCUGGAGAUGGAGUGCCUUCGGUCAGUACUCGGCGCAAUCUACAUACAAGAUGAUGUGCCAUGGCAUGAUUCGCCUGCCCGCUGCUCAUUGCAUAUGGAAGAGUUGGGCGCCGCUCAAAUGCAAAAUAUUCAUAUGGCUUGCUCUCCAGUAUCGGGUCUGGACCUCGGAUAG
This 525-nucleotide ribosomal RNA is filed under the name Triticum aestivum (bread wheat). RNAcentral describes it as "partial small subunit ribosomal RNA". The record is from RNAcentral. Lineage: Eukaryota; Viridiplantae; Streptophyta; Magnoliopsida; Poales; Poaceae.